GACGAACGCUGGCGGCGUGCUUAACACAUGCAAGUCGAACGAGAGGACAAGAGAAGCUUGCUUCUUUGGAAUCGAGUGGCAAACGGGUGAGUAACACGUAAACAACCUGCCUUCAGGAUGGGGACAACAGACGGAAACGACUGCUAAUACCGAAUACGCUUGGGAGACCGCAUGAUCUACCAAGGAAAGGGUGGCCUCUACCUGUAAGCUAUCGCCUGAAGAGGGGUUUGCGUCUGAUUAGGCAGUUGGUGAGGUAACGGCCCACCAAACCUACGAUCAGUAGCCGGUCUGAGAGGAUGAACGGCCACACCUGGAACUGAGACACGGUCCAGACUCCUACGGGAGGCAGCAGUGGGGAAUCUUCCGCAAUGGGCGAAAGCCUGACGGAGCAACGCCGCGUGAGUGAUGACGGCCUCGG
Molecule: ribosomal RNA, 418 nt
Filed under: uncultured bacterium
Lineage: Bacteria
Description: bacterial SSU rRNA
Rfam family: Bacterial small subunit ribosomal RNA
Source: RNAcentral